RNAcentral lists this ribosomal RNA (897 nucleotides) under uncultured marine bacterium. RNAcentral's name for it is "bacterial SSU rRNA". It matches the Rfam family "Bacterial small subunit ribosomal RNA", at positions 56 to 1001 of the family's 1533-position model. The record is from RNAcentral.
UGCAAGUCGAACGAAGUAGCAAUACUUAGUGGCAGACGGGUGAGUAACAUGUAGGUAUCUGCCCUUUGGCCUGGAAUAACACGAGGAAACUUGUGCUAAUACCGGAUAAGUCUUUACGGAGAAAGCUUUAUGCACCAUUGGAUGAGCCUGCACUUGAUUAGUUUGUUGGUGGGGUAAUGGCCUACCAAGACUGUGAUCAAUAGCUGAUUUGAGAGGAUGAUCAGCCACAUUGGGACUGAGACACGGCCCAAACUCCUACGGGAGGCAGCAGUGGGGAAUCUUGCACAAUGGAGGAAACUCUGAUGCAGCGAUGCCGCGUGAGUGAAGAAGGCCCUUGGGUUGUAAAGCUCUUUCGUCGGGGAAGAAAAUGACUGUACCCGAAUAAGAAGGUCCGGCUAACUUCGUGCCAGCAGCCGCGGUAAUACGAAGGGACCUAGCGUAGUUCGGAAUUACUGGGCUUAAAGAGUUCGUAGGUGGUUGAAAAAGUUAGUGGUGAAAUCCCAGAGCUUAACUCUGGAACUGCCAUUAAAACUUUUCAGCUAGAGUAUGAUAGAGGAAAGCAGAAUUUCUAGUGUAGAGGUGAAAUUCGUAGAUAUUAGAAAGAAUACCAAUUGCGAAGGCAGCUUUCUGGAUCAUUACUGACACUGAGGAACGAAAGCAUGGGUAGCGAAGAGGAUUAGAUACCCUCGUAGUCCAUGCCGUAAACGAUGUGUGUUAGACGUUGGAAAUUUAUUUUCAGUGUCGCAGCGAAAGCGAUAAACACACCGCCUGGGGAGUACGACCGCAAGGUUAAAACUCAAAUGAAUUGACGGGGACCCGCACAAGUAGUGGAGCAUGUGGUUUAAUUCGAAGAUACGCGCAGAACCUUACCAACACUUGACAUGUUCGUCGCGACUC